AGUUUGAUCCUGGCUCAGGAUGAACGCUAGCUACAGGCUUAACACAUGCAAGUCGAGGGGAAACGACAUCGAAAGCUUGCUUUUGAUGGGCGUCGACCGGCGCACGGGUGAGUAACGCGUAUCCAACCUGCCCACCACUUGGGGAUAACCUUGCGAAAGUAAGACUAAUACCCAAUGAUAUCUCUAGAAGACAUCUGAAAGAGAUUAAAGAUUUAUCGGUGAUGGAUGGGGAUGCGUCUGAUUAGCUUGUUGGCGGGGUAACGGCCCACCAAGGCGACGAUCAGUAGGGGUUCUGAGAGGAAGGUCCCCCACAUUGGAACUGAGACACGGUCCAAACUCCUACGGGAGGCAGCAGUGAGGAAUAUUGGUCAAUGGGCGAGAGCCUGAACCAGCCAAGUAGCGUGCAGGAUGACGGCCCUAUGGGUUGUAAACUGCUUUUAUAAGGGAAUAAAGUGAGCCUCGUGAGGCUUUUUGCAUGUACCUUAUGAAUAAGGACCGGCUAAUUCCGUGCCAGCAGCCGCGGUAAUACGGAAGGUCCGGGCGUUAUCCGGAUUUAUUGGGUUUAAAGGGAGCGUAGGCCGGAGAUUAAGCGUGUUGUGAAAUGUAGACGCUCAACGUCUGCACUGCAGCGCGAACUGGUUUCCUUGAGUACGCACAAAGUGGGCGGAAUUCGUGGUGUAGCGGUGAAAUGCUUAGAUAUCACGAAGAACUCCGAUUGCGAAGGCAGCUCACUGGAGCGCAACUGACGCUGAAGCUCGAAAGUGCGGGUAUCGAACAGGAUUAGAUACCCUGGUAGUCCGCACGGUAAACGAUGGAUGCCCGCUGUUGGUCUGAAUAGGUCAGCGGCCAAGCGAAAGCAUUAAGCAUCCCACCUGGGGAGUACGCCGGCAACGGUGAAACUCAAAUGAAUUGACGG
This 916-nucleotide ribosomal RNA is filed under the name uncultured bacterium. RNAcentral's name for it is "bacterial SSU rRNA". It matches the Rfam family "Bacterial small subunit ribosomal RNA", at positions 10 to 916 of the family's 1533-position model. The record is from RNAcentral.